This 61-nucleotide microRNA precursor is filed under the name Pristionchus pacificus. Its description in RNAcentral is "mir-8364 microRNA precursor family". It matches the Rfam family "mir-8364 microRNA precursor family". Lineage: Eukaryota; Metazoa; Nematoda; Chromadorea; Rhabditida; Neodiplogasteridae. The record is from Rfam by way of RNAcentral.
UCUUCAUUUCACACACUAUCUCGCCUCUCUGACCGGUGAGAGAGUGCGUGAAAUGAAGAGA